UACGGGGGGGGCAAGCGUUGUUCGGAAUUACUGGGCGUAAAGGGCUCGUAGGCGGCCAACUAAGUCCGACGUGAAAUCCCCAGGCUCAACUUGGGAACUGCGUCGGAUACUGGAUGGCUUGAAUUCGGGAGAGGGAUGCAGAAUUCCAGGUGUAGCGGUGAAAUGCGUAGAGAUCGGGAGGAACACCGGCGGCGAAGGCGGCUGCCUGGACCGGCCCUGACGCUGAGGCGCGAAAGCUAGGGGAGCAAACAGG
RNAcentral lists this ribosomal RNA (253 nucleotides) under uncultured bacterium. RNAcentral describes it as "partial 16S ribosomal RNA". It matches the Rfam family "Bacterial small subunit ribosomal RNA", at positions 524 to 776 of the family's 1533-position model. The record is from RNAcentral.